GGGGACCACAAGGAUCAUCGUUACUUCUAGCUUCAACAUCGGCAUCGAACAAAAUGGGAGACACGCAUGGUUGCUACCUUGGUCGGUCACUGACCUGAUCCAAGACCUCUGGACCAGUGUCCUAGGUCGCAUGGUUCGGUGUUCAUC
Long non-coding RNA from Rhipicephalus sanguineus (brown dog tick), 147 nucleotides. RefSeq lists it as uncharacterized. The record is from RefSeq and is a predicted model, not a curated record. NCBI's taxonomy places the organism in Eukaryota, Metazoa, Arthropoda, Arachnida, Ixodida, Ixodidae. The transcript is spliced from 3 exons.